Small nucleolar RNA from Candoia aspera, 111 nucleotides. RefSeq annotates it as small nucleolar RNA SNORD67. The record is from RefSeq and is a predicted model, not a curated record. Lineage: Eukaryota; Metazoa; Chordata; Lepidosauria; Squamata; Candoiidae. The transcript has a single exon.
UGCGAGAGUGAUGAGUUGCACAUCUGGUGGAGCUGAGUGUCAGGUGACAUUUGCACCACUCUGAAAUGUCUUGAUGACAUAACUAAGUGCACAGGGGCCAUCUGACUCGCA